UGGGGAAUAUUGGACAAUGGGCGCAAGCCUGAUCCAGCCAUGCCGCGUGAGUGAUGAAGGCCCUAGGGUUGUAAAGCUCUUUCACCGGUGAAGAUAAUGAUGGUAACCGGAGAAGAAGCCCCGGCUAACUUCGUGCCAGCAGCCGCGGUAAUACGAAGGGGGCUAGCGUUGUUCGGAUUUACUGGGCGUAAAGCGCACGUAGGCGGACUUUUAAGUCAGGGGUGAAAUCCCGGGGCUCAACCCCGGAACUGCCUUUGAUACUGGAAGUCUUGAGUAUGGUAGAGGUGAGUGGAAUUCCGAGUGUAGAGGUGAAAUUCGUAGAUAUUCGGAGGAACACCAGUGGCGAAGGCGGCUCACUGGACCAUUACUGACGCUGAGGUGCGAAAGCGUGGGGAGCAAACAGG
Molecule: ribosomal RNA, 404 nt
Filed under: Brucella melitensis
Lineage: Bacteria; Pseudomonadati; Pseudomonadota; Alphaproteobacteria; Hyphomicrobiales; Brucellaceae
Also listed under: 2 other names
Description: partial 16S ribosomal RNA
Rfam family: Bacterial small subunit ribosomal RNA
Source: RNAcentral